AGAGGAACAAGAGCUCCUUUUUGCAGGGCUUAAAGAGGUACUGACGCCACCGUCAGUGGCAGAGGGGCACAGAAGGCACUUCCCUGCCGCUUUCUCAGCCCUUGCCAGCAGAGACAAAGACCAGGAGGGUCCCAAGGCCUGUUUGGAAGCCAGGAGGCUACCACCAGGAGACUCCCUCCAGUUGCAGCUAGCAUAAAAUAGAAGAAUCAUUUCCCAGGAUUAUGCAGUGCUUUCUGCCCAGAGCUGCACAGCUCGAGCCUGGUGCAUCUGAAGCCCUUUGCAGCCAGCGCCACGGGUGCCACGGAGCCUCCUCGCUCCAUUGACUUCUGUGACCCUGCAGCCACCGGAGCUGCUGGGGGAUGGCACGUACCUGCUCAUCUUUCAGCUUUUGUUUCUGUCUGCCAGAGUUUAAGCUCUCCGGGGCUGGGACUGCUUCUUCCAGGUUCUGCAGCGUGUGGCAGGCGGGUCCCACCAGGACCCGCAGUCGCUGUGGCAGGACGGAGACACGGUACGGGUACGACUGACUGCGUGUCCUGGUGGGCUCCCAGGUGGCAAGUCAGCUCUUGCUGGCUUUCUUUAUUUCUGUGGACAAGAGAUGGGCCCAAAACACGGCUGCUGAGCACCGAUUUGUAGGACCCGUGUGUACGCCGCAGUCCUCCGCUGACAUUGCUGCGCUAGCAGAGGUGAGAAGCAGAGUGGGGAAACUGGGCCAGCAAAACCUUUCAUGUAGCAGCACUUAAACCAGCAAAGCCGUGAUUAGCAGGAACGUCUUGCUCAUGUGAGGUAAUUUUAUUAUGCCGUUUUAGCAGCCAGCAUUGAGGAUGUGACCUUGUCCAGGCUGAGAGGACACAGCUGUGUCCCUGCUGGAGCUCGCUGAGACCCGGCCUGCGUGGGAUGGAGCGAGGUGUGCCUGAGCCUAGGGAAGGCUGUGUGCUACUGCCUUCCCAAAGUAUAGCCUUACAGGAAAAUAAAUGAAAAGAUGACAUUUGGUCACUCUCCAAGGACAUGGGAUGGACAACAGGAGAGCAGCUGGACUCGGUGGAAAUGAGAUUUUCACAGCAGCUGCUAGGAGAGAGCGAGGCAGCUGCAGGAGCAGCACUGGGGAAGGCAAAGAGCUGCUGCUGGAAGGGUCCGAGGGCACAAAAAGGCCCUGCGUCCAGGGGAUGGUGCUCCCUGAGACCUCUUCUGACCCACCCUUCUGCCACUUCCACAGCAUCCCAGUCCCACAGGCAGGCACAGGGAUCUGCCUUCGCUGCAGUGCACCCGUCCCCCACCCCUAAUUUGGAUUCAUUUCCCUCUUAAAGAGCUAUCACAUUAUUACAUUAUCACAUUAUGCAAACCAAACAUCGCAAAAAGGCAGAUAGUUAACAAACAGACUGCGAGAUUAGGGUUUGCCUGUGGGAUCCAGCCUAAUCAACUGGCCUCCUUAUCUGCCUCUGAUCAGGGCGACACGCUUCCGCAUCCCGCCGAGCCAGGCAGCGCUGCGGUCCCAGAGGAGUGGAACAGCAUCUCAAUUACAUAUCUAUUUUUUUAUCACGCUGCCGAAGUAAUGAGGGUCCCAAGCUCUAAACUGCUAAAUAUCACUUGAAGUCAAAGAGACAAAUAUGCACUAAUUACAGGGAAAAGGCAGCGUCCAAACAGGCGCUCCGGUUCAGGAGCUUGGCUCUGCUGCUGCCAGCCCCCCGCAGGUGUUUGCGGUCACUUCUGCAUUUUCCCAGAGACCUUCUCUAACUAUUGUGCUCUUUUUGCAUGGCAGCAGGACGUAGGAGAAGCUUGCUGGGGAGGCACAGCCAACUUUGGAGGUGGAACAUGUGAACCAACAGAAGGAGCACAGGGUGCCUGUUUUUUGGCCAAGCUCAGCGCUGUGUCCCCCCAAAAAGUUCCAGCUGUGUACCCCAAGGGACAGCAGCUCACAGAGCACACUCCCCCUCACACACACCCUGCAUUGUGCACCCUCUGAAGGAGCUGGGGCAGAGGCACGUUCUCACCAUGCCCACCACCCCUGUUCCUCGCUCUCUUGGCUGCAGCUGCAGCUAAUCCUCGUUAGAUCAUCCCAUAUAACCUGUUCAGCUGUAAAUCGCUUCCUGCUGAGCACCCAUAAUACACAGAUUGGAGGUAACUUUACUCCAGAGAGCCAAUUAGUGCAAAUCUAGGCCUGGUAAUUACAGUGUGAUAAGAUCCUGGUUGCUGAUAUCUCUGGGCAGAUAAGGCACAAGGAAGCAAUCUCCUAAUGCAAUGGCAGUUAUUAUUAAAGCUUCACCUCAGUCCCACAAAGCCUUCAGUAGGUUCAGCAUCAGGCCUGUGCUUGUGCCACCAAGAGCAAGCUGGUGCUCCAAGAGCAAGGCAGGAGCUGGAGGGAAGAGCUACAAGCAGAGGUGGAAAUCCCCUCCUCAGCUUUUAAAGCCCAACAUUAGGCCUCCCGGUGGUGGGUAGGCAUCAGCAGGACUCGUCCUGCUUUUAUUCAUUACGUGAUCUUGCGUGGCAGCAGCCCGACGUCAGUGAGGAGCUGGAGGAGGAUGAGGCAGGAGCUGGAGGAGGAGCAGUGGGGGCGACGAAGGCUGACCCAGAGGGAACCAAAGUGUGAGUUUGAAGAGGAGAGGCUGUGCUUGGGACGAUCUCUGCUGGAGCAUCUGACCGAGGCUCAGACCAAUUAAUGCUGGAAGGAGCCCAAUCCAUCCAUCUCGUUUUUUUCUGAAGUUGAAGGCGCAGGAGCUGGAGUGCUCUCAGUCCCCAGGGACAGAUCAAAUAGCAGCCGCAGCAGCUGAUUCCCCCCAGGGUGCCAGGAACGAUGCUCGUGGGGCGCAUCUCUUGUCUGCAGCAAACAUGUUGGUGCCAGGGCCGCUGCUUUGCAGAGCUGCUCCCGGGCUGAGGAGGCAGGGGCUGCGCUUCGCUUCCAUCCAGCAAGCUGUCACUCAGCCAGAAAUCAGCAUUUAAGAUCUCACCUUCCCUCCGUGCCCUCGCAGGGGCUGACAGCCGCUCUGCGCGGCGGUUUGUCUGCGGGGCGCACGGCAGCAUCCGUUCUGUGCUUGUACCACAUGUUGGCUGCGAACCGAUGCCCAUUGCCUGACUCUGACUCAAACAAUUCCAGUCCGGUAUUUUUCCAGGGGGGAGAAUUUUUCAUUUUCCCCUGUCCAGCAAACUGUAAGAGCCACCAGCCAAAUUACCACUUUCUCUUGUGUAACUGCUCUUUAAUUUCGCCGGCUGGAUCCAGGUGGCUCAGAGGACGGUGUGGGAAUGCAAGAGCGGUGCAGAGCUCAGGCUUCAGCACUGGGAGCAGGGGCAGAGGCUGGUGGGGAAGGAGUUAAGGGCAGCCUUGGCUGGAGGAGCAGCACAACUGGGCUGCAGGAGGUGUUUGCCAGGGGAAUCAGCGCCUUCCAUGGCUAUGAAAGGGCUGGUGCUGGAGCACUGCGGGCUUUGGUGGUGGCAGCUGAGGUUUGCCAGCUAGAAGGAAGAUGGGGGAAGAGAGGGAAGCGUUAUUUUUAGCCCUGUUUCUUACCGCGGUGUUUGAUAACAGGGCUUCAGGCAGUAGCUGUUGCACAAGGUCUCUGCAGCAGCCCCACGUUGCGUUCUCAAGAGCGGGUGAUGGAGAGGGGCAGCGCGCCCGGGGACGAGCGCCGCGUGUGGAUGAGGCUCCGGGGGCUCGCUGGGUUCAGGAUCCUCUCAAGAUUUCCACCUCGCACUCGUGCUGUAGGAAGCUCUUCUCUGCUCUUGAAACAGCUGCUUGAGCCUUUCUGCUUCUGUCUUUCCCCAGCUAUGCUCAGUACCUAGCAGCCAGCCCAGCCCCGGCAGCCAGUUUAAAGCAGCUCAACUCUUUGGUGGAGAGAAGAGGUGUUUGACAAACGCUUGUGCUUCAGAUCUUAAAAAUUUAAGGUCUAGCUAGUCUGGAAGAUAUCUUCACUGAAAGGUAUUCAAUUUUUCAAUUAAAGAAGCCAAGUAGGUGUACUUCACAUUUUUCAAAACCUGAGAGCUGCUCAAACUCUGGCUAAAACCCAAUGCUGCUGCUCUCAGCAGGUCCAGGGGCUGCGUCUUAGCUGAAUAUGUCACAUUUAUUAUUGCAUCUUAGCCUUUCUAAUCGAUACGUUAACUUCCUCUGCUGUUAGCUGCUUUGUCUGGGUUACAGAAGUGUGGGAGCAACCAGAAACACGGGGGUUUCUGCUGCGCUUUGGGCUAGUUGCAGCGAGGAGCCCACCUGCACGUGGCAGGCAGCCCCCUGCCCUCUGCCUUCCCAUCCAUGGAGCCCCUGCUUGGGGGAUGAGGGGCUGGAGGGGCUGCUCGGCCCCGUGGCACCCAGGAGCUGUGCUCACUGAUGCUGGCACUGCCUGGGUGCCACCUCGCCCUGCCAGCAGGCUCCAGCCCGGUGCAAGGCGAUGCCAUGCAGCCAGUCCUCAUGGGGAAGGGCAGGGCUGGCUUCCAGCCCCCCGAUCAGCUUGGCAACAAAUAGAGCCCCCCUGGGGAACGAAACCCAGCACGUUCCAGUCCUUUAA
Anas platyrhynchos (mallard) is the source of this 4484-nucleotide long non-coding RNA. RefSeq lists it as uncharacterized. Lineage: Eukaryota; Metazoa; Chordata; Aves; Anseriformes; Anatidae. The record is from RefSeq and is a predicted model, not a curated record.